This is a long non-coding RNA of Acanthaster planci (crown-of-thorns starfish), 976 nucleotides long. RefSeq lists it as uncharacterized. The record is from RefSeq and is a predicted model, not a curated record. NCBI's taxonomy places the organism in Eukaryota, Metazoa, Echinodermata, Asteroidea, Valvatida, Acanthasteridae.
AACCACAUCAUAUUCUUAGGAGGCUGACAAUGGUGAAGAAGAACGCUUUGUGGAAAGCAAAACUUGCGAGGAAAGGAGUAUCCGUGGCAGGAAAUGACAACUUAUCAAUAGGGGGGAGAGAAGUUAUGGGGAACUGGGUACUAUUUCGAAUCUAUGGGGCGGGAGGUAUAUAUAAUACCUCCCUCACUCUCAGUGGAGUAUCAAGCGGCGGGUGGGAGAUGUUGCACCCUGGAGACAUCGUGCACGUUGCCGGUGAACUGUAAGCGCCUUUCAGAGGGUAAUGAGGAUUUUGCUGGCCACAGCCACAACAGAAGACUGAAGAUACACCACUGCUUACCCGCCUCGGUGUAUCUGUGGACGGGGAUAUCUUGGCGUCUAUUCCUACUGACCAACAUCUUCGAUUCCAAGCCUCUGUGGUACGUAUCUGCGCUGGUGAACUCUCUGCAGGGAGUGUCGAUCAUGUUGGCUAGCACCUGCAAGUCCAGCGUGUGCCGUAUGUGGCGGCAACGAUCGAGCUGGUCAGGUGUACGGGUAAAAAUUGGCCGGCAGAGUAGAGAAAGCACCGAGGGCGGUGGACGUGGACGGAGCGGGGCGGCGGGAUGAUGGCACAAGGAGCCGUGCGGGGCUGGCGUUGGGGCCGGUAAAAAAGAAGUGGGGUUUCAGUCGUCCAAGAAAACUUUUGGCAAGUUCAACUACGAGGGAGUCGUCUUCAUUUGGUGGUACUGCACUGCUUCUCAUUGGGGUCAGACGCUGGACACAAAAACAACGCCUGCCGAAAACAUAUAGGUGCAUGUCUCUAAGCUCCUCUUCCGAGUUGACAACACAUCUCCGGGAAUAGCCUACCCCUGCUGGACACACCACUGCCGAGAUCCAAAGUGGCGCCAAACUUAUAUGGAUUAGGAUUAAAAAUCACUAGCACUUAAGGAGAGGGCAAAAACAGCCAUGGAUUUACUAACUAUUUACGUGUCAGACCAAA